This 3634-nucleotide unclassified non-coding RNA is filed under the name Onthophagus taurus. Its description in RNAcentral is "histone-lysine N-methyltransferase eggless, transcript variant X3". Lineage: Eukaryota; Metazoa; Arthropoda; Insecta; Coleoptera; Scarabaeidae. The record is from RNAcentral.
CGCAAUCCACAAUUGCGUGUUAAUUUUGUUUUUACUUAAAUAAUUUUUUUACUAAAUAAUUAAUAAUAAUCGUGUUUUAAACUAAAAAUGAAUGAAAAUAUGGAGAUUGAUGCCCCAAGCGAUGUUGGAGCCUCCGCGAAUGUUGAAGGAACCCCUACGGAGGACGUUAUCGUGUUAGACGACGAUGAAGUUUGCGAUUUAACCACAAUAAAAACGGCGAAUAAAUGCUUAAAUUACGCCUGUAGAAGUGGCGAAAACAUGAUAAAACCCCCAAGUUUUUGCCUCUCUUAUUACCGAGUCAAAACAAAAUUAAGCAAAAAACAACAAAUUUGUGUAGAAUGUUACAACGAAGCUGUACAACAUUACGAUACAUUAGCGCAAGCCGUAUUCUCCGGGGUGGCUAUUUGCAGCAUUGAAACUCCUUAUAAAAACGAUGUGUUUGAAAUUCUCGAUUCGGACAGCGAUUCCGGAGGAGAAGAAGUAAUCGAUCCAAAAACGAUGAGCUUUUUGGAAGAGAAUUUCGACGAAACUUUAAAUAAAGUAAUAACCACUUACAAUUUCAACGAACAAUACGAAAAGUGUUUAAAACAAUUAAGCAAAGAUUGCACGCGAGUUCAAGAAAAAUUUAAUGAGGUUAAAAACGUUUAUUCCGAGAUACGAACCGACACAGACGGUAUGAUUUUUGAGUUAUCCAAUUUAAUGAGACCGGAUAUUCACGAAUUAUCCCCCAUUGAAAUCAACGAUGACAUAAACGAUGUGUUAAGAAACGCCGAAUUGAUCAAUCAAACCAAUAACGCACAAACGAUCAUCUCAAAACUUCCUAAUAUAUCACCAAAACCUCAAAAUUUCGUUCAAAAACCACAAAAUAAACUCCCCGAAACCACAUUAUCAUCGGUAACUUCACCGAACGUCGCCUCAAUCACCCAAUUAACCGGAGAAGUCGUUUUAAUCCCAUCUGAUUUACCCCCAAAAGGCCCCAUUAUAAAACAAACCAUAAAAACAGGCGAAACUUAUUACACAAAUCGUUUUGAAAUCAUUGGAACUUGGGUUAAGGGGACCUUAACAGGAAUUUUCGCCCCUAAUAAAUUCGAAAUAACCAUAGUGAGUCGACAAAAAACGAUUAAACGCAUGGUUACAGGGAAAGAAUUGGCUUAUUCGACCCCAUGUAACGUCCAAAUCGGACUUGGAACUCGCGUAAUAGCCGUUUUUAGGGAAUCGACGAAUAUGGGGGAGAUGAAAAAGAAUAAAAAGUGCUCGUUUUAUCCCGGGAUUAUCGCCGAACCGCUUCAAUUAAGCAAUAAGUAUCGAUAUUUAAUUUUUUUCGAUGACGGUUAUGCGCAGUACGUUAGUCAUAAUCACGUUCAUCUUAUUCAUGAAGCUAGUAGCGAUGUUACCGAGGAUAUUAAUGUUAAUGCGAGGGCUUUUGUUAGGAAGUAUCUUGAGAAUUAUAAAAAUCGAGCUUUGGUUAAGUGUCUUAAAGAUCAAACUGUGAGGACGGAAUAUAAUGGAAGAUGGAGAGUUGCAACAGUUUUAAACGUUGAUUGUUCGUUAGUUCAAGUUUAUUUCGACGAUAUUAACCGUAUCGAAUGGAUUUAUAGGGGUUCGACGCGGUUUGGGCCAAUGUUUGAUUUAGAACAAGCCGCCGCAAAUCGGCAACACAAACACAGAUUUUCAAGGAAACCAAACGCCACGGGUCCCCACGUUGAAUUUAUACGAGAAGAUGGCACGAUUUGCAGUUCGGAUAAUCAGAGUCAUCACGAACAACGAUCUGUCGCUAGAAAAAGUACUGCCAAAUCGAUUUCAAGUAAUUCUUCGAGUGUUGUUGUUCCAGAACAAGAAACUCCAACGACGAAGAUAGUGUAUUACACCCCACGUCGUCAAAAACCAAAAACCAACACUUUUAUCCCACAUAAUUGCAGCCCAGAUUGUCGAACUUACAUGUAUUGCCCGUUAACUCGUAUGAAAGGAUACAGCCCGCUCGCAAAACCUCUCCUUUGCGGAUUUUAUCGCCUCCUUUACAAAGUUAAACACAAACUUAAUUUCGUCAUAUACCGCGCGCCUUGCGGUCGUACCCUCCGAAAUAUAGCGGAAGUUCACCGAUACCUCCAAUUAACCCGCUCCGAACUCACCAUAGAUUUAUUCGACUUCCACAUCUACGUCCGUUGUUUGGCCGAGUUCAUGGUGGAAAGCAAAAGUAUUCAAAAUAAAGAUUUAUCAAACGGACUCGAGCAGUGUCCCAUAACCGUUUGUAACUACGUUGAUAAAUCACUUUUAGACUUUUGCAAUUACACCACGAAACGUCAACCGAUGGUGGGUGUCGAUUUAAAUUUGGACCCGAAUUUUUUGGUGUGUUGCGAUUGCACCGAUGAUUGUUUGGAUCGCUCGAAAUGUGCGUGUUGGCAAUUAACCUUACAAUGUUUGAAAUACAUGGAAAAAGGAACCGAUCCAAAAUCCGUCGGGUACCAAUACCGGAGACUUCUCGAACCGAUUUUCUCCGGAAUUUACGAAUGUAAUAGUCGUUGUCAUUGUAGACACACCUGUUUGAAUCGGGUCGUUCAAAACCCAAUGCAACAUAAGUUACAAGUUUUUAAAACUGACUCAAGGGGGUGGGGAAUCCGAUCUUUGAGUGAUAUCCCGGAAGGUUCAUUCGUGUGUAUUUAUGCGGGAUCACUUUUAACCGAAGAAAUGGCGAAUUUAGAUGGGAAAUCUUACGGGGAUGAAUACUUGGCCGAAUUAGAUUUUAUCGAAACCGCUGAAAGAACGAAAGAAGAUUACGAGGAGGAUCCAUAUCGGGAUGAAAUUAAAAAGGAGAGGGUUGUUGAGGAACCUUCCGAUAACGAAGAGGUUGUUGAUGAUUUUGAGGAAAUUGUUACGAAUCGAGAAGAUCGCGAUUUUGUCCCAUCUCGCACCGUUCCGAGGAGAAGACAUGGUUUUAGUAUCGAUGAUCACGAAACGGGGAUCCGAUCGAGGUUGAGGAAACGAAAUAUUGAAGCUAAUUUAUUACAGGAGAAGAAAGCGGAAAAGGAUGUUAUCAAAAUUGGAAUUCUUGAUGAUGAUGAUACGGUGAUGAUCAGCGAUGAUGAGGAUUAUCCUCCAAGAGAACCCUCCAGUUUUAACCCAAUGGGAGAGGUCGAUGAUAAAGAUUCAAGAAAGUAUAAAUCCGUGAGAGAACUUCACGGCGAAGAAGAAACCGUUUAUAUCAUGGAUGCUAAAAGUACAGGAAACAUAGGACGAUUUUUAAAUCAUUCUUGCGCUCCAAAUAUUUUCGUUCAAAACGUUUUCGUCGACACCCACGACCCGAGAUUCCCUUGGGUGGCCUUUUUCACGAUGGGGUACGUCAGAGCGGGUCAAGAAUUAACUUGGAAUUAUAACUAUGACAUUGGGAGCGUCCCUGGAAAGGUUUUGUAUUGUUUUUGCGGCACCAGCGAAUGUAAAGGACGAUUAUUAUAAACAAAAAAACUGCAACGACGUCUUCGUUGGUGAUAAUUCGAAAAUUGAAAAGGAAAUUCUUUAAAUUUAAUUACGAUGCAACCUCUAAUAAGAUUUACAUCGUUCGAAGACGUUGAUUGGGACGUGAACGGCGCUAUGAUUAGUAUUAACCGGGAUGUUAUAAAAAUGAACGUUUGGUGUUAAA